AUUGAACGCUGGCGGCAUGCCUUACACAUGCAAGUCGAACGGCAGCACGGGAGCAAUCCUGGUGGCGAGUGGCGAACGGGUGAGUAAAGUAUCGGAACGUGCCCAGUCGUGGGGGAUAACGUAGCGAAAGUUACGCUAAUACCGCAUACGAUCUAUGGAUGAAAGCGGGGGAUCGCAAGACCUCGCGCGAUUGGAGCGGCCGAUAUCAGAUUAGGUAGUUGGUGGGGUAAAGGCUCACCAAGCCGACGAUCUGUAGCUGGUCUGAGAGGACGACCGGCCACACUGGGACUGAGACACGGCCCAGACUCCUACGGGAGGCAGCAGUGGGGAAUUUUGGACAAUGGGCGAAAGCCUGAUUCAGCCAUGCCGCGUGCAGGAUGAAGGCCUUCGGGUUGUAAACUGCUUUUGUACGGAACGAAAAGGUUUGGGCUAAUAAGCUGAGCUCAUGACGGUACCGUAAGAAUAAGCACCGGCUAACUACGUGCCAGCCGCCGCAGUAA
This 500-nucleotide ribosomal RNA is filed under the name uncultured bacterium. RNAcentral describes it as "partial 16S ribosomal RNA". It matches the Rfam family "Bacterial small subunit ribosomal RNA", at positions 30 to 523 of the family's 1533-position model. The record is from RNAcentral.